Long non-coding RNA from Arabidopsis thaliana (thale cress), 207 nucleotides. RefSeq annotates it as other RNA. The record is from RefSeq. Lineage: Eukaryota; Viridiplantae; Streptophyta; Magnoliopsida; Brassicales; Brassicaceae. The transcript has a single exon.
AUGAUUGUUUUGUUUUGAGUGUGAAUUUCACGUUCUUGGUUGUCUUGUACGUUGUAUAUAUGGGUGAUUGUGAUUGGUUUGUUCUUGUGUAUCGUGUAAUCUGUAAUGUGUGAAUAGAAGAGACUGUCCUUACUGAAAAGUUUGUUUAUUCAUACCUACUACCUAUAUUCGCAGGCUAGCAUUAGAAGAUUCCGCUUUGUUUGGUGC